RNAcentral lists this ribosomal RNA (550 nucleotides) under uncultured bacterium. RNAcentral describes it as "partial 16S ribosomal RNA". It matches the Rfam family "Bacterial small subunit ribosomal RNA", at positions 355 to 895 of the family's 1533-position model. The record is from RNAcentral.
UGGGGAAUAUUGGACAAUGGGCGCAAGCCUGAUCCAGCAAUGCCGCGUGUGUGAAGAAGGCCUUCGGGUUGUAAAGCACUUUUAUCAGGAGCGAAACGCUGUCGGCUAAUACCCGGCGGAACUGACGGUACCUGAGGAAUAAGCACCGGCUAACUUCGUGCCAGCAGCCGCGGUAAUACGAAGGGUGCAAGCGUUAAUCGGAAUUACUGGGCGUAAAGCGUGCGUAGGCGGUUUCUUAAGUCUGCUGUGAAAUCCCCGGGCUCAACCUGGGAAUGGCAGUGGAUACUGGGAGGCUAGAGUGUGUCAGAGGGUGGUGGAAUUCCCGGUGUAGCGGUGAAAUGCGUAGAGAUCGGGAGGAACAUCAGUGGCGAAGGCGGCCACCUGGGACAACACUGACGCUGAGGCACGAAAGCGUGGGGAGCAAACAGGAUUAGGAUACCCUGGUAGUCCACGCCCUAAAGCGAUGCGAACUGGAUGUGGUCUCAACUCGGAGAUCAGUGUCGAAGCUAACGCGUUAAGUUCGCCGCCUGGGGAGUACGGUCGCAAGACU